This 504-nucleotide small RNA is filed under the name Arabidopsis thaliana (thale cress). RNAcentral describes it as "ATSL153750". Lineage: Eukaryota; Viridiplantae; Streptophyta; Magnoliopsida; Brassicales; Brassicaceae. The record is from RNAcentral.
AUGGUUACUUAAAUUUACACUAGAACUCGAGUAAGAAAUAUCUCACAUGAUAUCACUUAUGAUAUCACUUAAUCAGGAUACCGCUGCUAUGUGGAUGGUUUAUGGAAAGAAAGUGACAAGUUUUCUAGAACAUGAUGGUAUUGUAGAUCAUCAAAUGGAGAGCCACCAACCAUGGGAGCUGUGAAUCUAAGGAGUUUGUCUCCAAUACACGUAGAUGUGGAAGUCCUUUUUGAGCUAUAAAGUGCAUGAUUGACGUCGACAACCAAGAUGUAGUUUUCUUAACAAACUGUUCAACCGAAUGACCGGCAUUUUCAGCAUAUUUGGAGGAAUUACAGAACGACAAGGGAGAGUUCACUAGCUUUUCUUUAUCUUUAAUCUCUCGUAAUUCAAAUGUAAAAGUGGACAAUUUGGCAUGAAAAGUCUAUACCGAAAAACAUCAUAUCAUGUAUGUAAACAACAUUCGUUAGAUAUAAUUGUUUUGAGCUUUAUCUAAUUAAUAUGGGA